GGCCUUGUUGUCCAACGGCUAAGACGCCUCUUUGACGUGGAGGAAAUCUAGGUUCAAUUCCUGGCAGGGCCA
Molecule: transfer RNA, 72 nt
Filed under: Candidatus Pacearchaeota archaeon
Lineage: Archaea; Nanobdellati
Description: tRNA-Val
Rfam family: tRNA
About the family: Transfer RNA (tRNA) molecules are approximately 80 nucleotides in length. Their secondary structure includes four short double-helical elements and three loops (D, anti-codon, and T loops).
Source: RNAcentral